AAAAAGAUGAGCUAAAAUCAGCUCUUCAAGAAUUUUACGGAGAGUUUGAUCCUGGCUCAGGACGAACGCUGG
Molecule: ribosomal RNA, 72 nt
Filed under: Capillibacterium thermochitinicola
Lineage: Bacteria; Bacillati; Bacillota
Description: Hydrogenispora sp. UUS1-1 partial 16S ribosomal RNA
Source: RNAcentral